AUACGGAGGGUGCAAGCGUUAUCCGGAUUCAUUGGGUUUAAAGGGUGCGCAGGCGGAAUGAUAAGUCAGUGGUGAAAUCCUACAGCUUAACUGUAGAACUGCCAUUGAUACUGUCAUUCUUGAGUACAGUUGAAGUGGGCGGAAUGUAUCAUGUAGCGGUGAAAUGCAUAGAUAUGAUACAGAACUCCGAUAGCGAAGGCAGCUCACUAAAUUGUAACUGACGCUCAGGCACGAAAGCGUGGGGAGCAAACAGAAUUAGAAACCCUUGUAGUCC
RNAcentral lists this ribosomal RNA (274 nucleotides) under uncultured bacterium. RNAcentral describes it as "partial 16S ribosomal RNA". It matches the Rfam family "Bacterial small subunit ribosomal RNA", at positions 523 to 796 of the family's 1533-position model. The record is from RNAcentral.